UGUCCUCCAAGCUCAUCACUAAGCCCUGGGUCUGAACCUGUCCCUGUGCAACUGGGUCCUGGACUUCCUGACGGAAGGUGUUGGAGGAGUAUGGGGUUUUGGACAGUCCAGAGAUGGAGCUGAGCCCAGAGGACCCAUCUACAGGUGGUUCAUCGCCCCUUGAUUCAUCAUCUCCCUGGCCUGGUUCAUCACCUCUCCGGCCCCUCUCCCCAACGCCCAGGCCCUUCUUACCAACACCCAACCCACAAUCCAGGCGCACCCGUGCUCUCUGCCAUGCAACUCCAUCAACCUCCACCCCAUCUCCCCGAUCCAGCUCCAAUGCCCAGAAGAGGAAGACAGCUGAGGAUCCUUUGGACACUGACAUUAUGCAGCGGGUGCAUGACUUAAAAAAAACGGCAGCAGGAGUUACAGAAACAGCAGCAGUGUCCAGCAAAGGCCGUCUACGAUGUCAUGGUACCAUGGAUGAUGUCUAUUCCUGCUGAUCAACGUCUCCCGUUUGUCUCACCCCUAAACCUGUUGUGUGCUUUUUUUCUUAUUCAUACGUUAUGGUGGCG
This 554-nucleotide long non-coding RNA is filed under the name Salmo salar (Atlantic salmon). RNAcentral's name for it is "lncRNA (ENSSSAG00000078287.2)". The record is from RNAcentral. Lineage: Eukaryota; Metazoa; Chordata; Actinopteri; Salmoniformes; Salmonidae.